GAUGAACGCUGGCGGUAUGCUUAACACAUGCAAGUCGAACGGACUCUUCGGAGUUAGUGGCGGACGGGUGAGUAACGCGUGAGAAUCUGGCUUUGGGUUCGGGACAACCACUGGAAACGGUGGCUAAUACCGGAUGUGCCGAGAGGUAAAAGAGAAAUUGCCUGAAGAUGAGCUCACGUCUGAUUAGCUAGUUGGUGAGGUAAAGGCUCACCAAGGCAGCGAUCAGUAGCUGGUCUGAGAGGAUGACCAGCCACACUGGGACUGAGACACGGCCCAGACUCCUACGGGAGGCAGCAGUGGGGAAUUUUCCGCAAUGGGCGAAAGCCUGACGGAGCAAUACCGCGUGAGGGAAGAAGGCUCUUGGGUUGUAAACCUCUUUUCUUAGGGAAGAACAAAAUGACGGUACCUAAGGAAUCAGCAUCGGCUAACUCCGUG
RNAcentral lists this ribosomal RNA (435 nucleotides) under uncultured bacterium. Its description in RNAcentral is "partial 16S ribosomal RNA". It matches the Rfam family "Bacterial small subunit ribosomal RNA", at positions 28 to 507 of the family's 1533-position model. The record is from RNAcentral.